This is a long non-coding RNA of Mauremys reevesii (Reeves's turtle), 458 nucleotides long. RefSeq lists it as uncharacterized. NCBI's taxonomy places the organism in Eukaryota, Metazoa, Chordata, Testudines, Geoemydidae. The record is from RefSeq and is a predicted model, not a curated record. The transcript has 3 exons.
UUGAAAUGCUAGACUGGAAAACCUGCAUGAGUUCAGCUGGUGGCACGAACUCUUAAAGUUGUGGAGAAACCAAACCUAACCCUUCUUCAGACUCCUGAAGCAAGGCUUGAAAUAAUCCUUGAAACUAGAGUCUCCCCCGCUCUUGGUCCCUUAAUGAUGGCAUCUUCUCCCAAUCGAGGCAACUGAGAGAGCUGUCAGCAAACUGAAAAUCCAGCUACGUGGAAAGAGAGAAACCAAAGUCCCAGAAGGCCUUCAAGUUUCCAAACCAAACAGCAUCAAGUGGAACAGAUUCAACCAAAAACUUUUAAAGGAAGAGGCAUAUUCAAAGGAGAUGGUUUUCCUUGCACCCAAAAGAGCUGCAGAAAGAACAGAGUCUGUUUAAAGAAAAGCAGAGUCUAUCUUUGUAGAGAUCACUAUGUGGCGCAUGCACAUAUGCAUCAGCUGUGAGCUGUGGUCAG